Molecule: ribosomal RNA, 500 nt
Filed under: uncultured beta proteobacterium
Lineage: Bacteria; Pseudomonadati; Pseudomonadota; Betaproteobacteria
Description: bacterial SSU rRNA
Rfam family: Bacterial small subunit ribosomal RNA
Source: RNAcentral
GGAGAGAGUUCGGUGUGCCCGAAAGGGAGCCUGGACACAGGUGCUGCAUGGCUGUCGUCAACUCGUGUCGUGAGAUGUUGGGUUAAGUCCCGCAACGAGCGCAACCCUUGUCACUAGUUGCUACGCAAGGGCACUCUAGUGAGACUGCCGGUGACAAACCGGAGGAAGGUGGGGAUGACGUCAAGUCCUCAUGGCCCUUAUGGGUAGGGCUUCACACGUCAUACAAUGGCGCAUACAAAGGGCUGCCAACCCGCGAGGGGGAGCCAAUCCCAGAAAGUGCGUCGUAGUCCGGAUUGCAGUCUGCAACUCGACUGCAUGAAGUCGGAAUCGCUAGUAAUCGCGGAUCAGCAAUGCCGCGGUGAAUACGUUCCCGGGUCUUGUACACACCGCCCGUCACACCAUGGGAGUGGGUUUCACCAGAAGCCGGUUGCCUAACCGCGAGGGAGGCGCCGACCACGGUGAGAUUCAUGACUGGGGUGAAGUCGUAACAAGGUAGCCGU